CCUACGGGAGGCAGCAGUGGGGGAUAUUGCACAAUGGGGGAAACCCUGAUGCAGCGACGCCGCGUGUGGGAAGACGGUCUUCUGGAUUGUAAACCACUGUCCCCAGGGACGAAAAUGACGGUACCUGGGGAGGAAGCUCCGGCUAACUACGUGCCAGCAGCCGCGGUAAUACGGAGGGAGCAAGCGUUGUCCGGAAUUACUGGGUGAAACGGGAGCGUAGGCGGGGAUGCAAGUUGGGUGUCAAAACUACCGGCUCAACCGAUAGUCGCACUCAAAACUGCAGCUCUUGAGUGAAGUAGAGGCAGGCGGAAUUCGUAGUGUAGCGGUGAAAUGCGUAGAUAUUAGGAGGAACACCAGUGGCGAAGGCGGCCUGCCGGGCUUUUACUGACGCUGAGGCUCGAAAGUGUGGGGAGCAAACAGGAUUAGAUACCCUGGUAGUC
RNAcentral lists this ribosomal RNA (440 nucleotides) under uncultured bacterium. RNAcentral describes it as "partial 16S ribosomal RNA". It matches the Rfam family "Bacterial small subunit ribosomal RNA", at positions 338 to 795 of the family's 1533-position model. The record is from RNAcentral.